This is a non-coding RNA of Chelonoidis abingdonii (Abingdon island giant tortoise), 715 nucleotides long. Lineage: Eukaryota; Metazoa; Chordata; Testudines; Testudinidae. The record is from the annotation of a RefSeq genome assembly.
AUGUCUGAGAAUUUGGUCAUUGUCCCGGCCAGCAGCUGGGAGUCUAACACCUAUCGAUGCACCAUAGAGCACCAGCCCACCAGCUCCAGCAUCUCCGAGGAAAUCCCAAGCAGGGAAGGUGCGGCGCAGCCCGGGUGGAGGGAUGAAAAGAGACACCAGGCCAAGAGAAGCGAUGGGCGCUGCAAUGCAGAGAAAGGGGCAGANUUCACCGCCUCCAGCUCCAUGCCCAUCUUCACCCGCGACUGGGAGGCCGGAGAGACCUUCACCUGCAAAGUGGAGCACUCGGACCUGAUCUCGCCCCUCAUCAAAUCGAUCUCCAAGAAGCCAGGCAAGCACUCCGCCCCGGGCGUCUACCUCCUGCACCCCCACAGAGAAGAGCUGAACGGCAAAGGAGACUCUGUCAGCCUCACCUGCCUGGUGCAGGGCUUCUUCCCCGAGGACAUCUCGCUGCAGUGGAUGAAGAACCAUGAAGAUGAAAAGGAGACCGAGUACAUCACCACCCCACCCAUCAAGGAUGGAGCCGACGACUCGAACUUCUUCCUCUACAGCAAGCUGAAAGUCAGCAAGGACAGCUGGAACAGAGGGGACACCUACACCUGCAUGGUCAUCCACGAAGCCCUGAAGAUGAAGUUCACCCAACGCAGCGACAGCAAAGUCUCUGGUAAAUGAAGAAGGCUCCUCCCAGCCCCACUGCUACCACUGUCCAGUACAGCUU